GCCUGGGUGGCGGAAUAGGUAGACGCACAGGACUUAAAAUCCUGUGGACAUUUUGUCCGUGCGGGUUCGAUUCCCGCCCCAGGCA
Molecule: transfer RNA, 85 nt
Filed under: Hypnocyclicus thermotrophus
Lineage: Bacteria; Fusobacteriati; Fusobacteriota; Fusobacteriia; Fusobacteriales; Fusobacteriaceae
Rfam family: tRNA
About the family: Transfer RNA (tRNA) molecules are approximately 80 nucleotides in length. Their secondary structure includes four short double-helical elements and three loops (D, anti-codon, and T loops).
Source: Rfam by way of RNAcentral